CUUUUAAAGGAUAAAAGUAAUCCAAUGGUUUUAGGCACCAUCCCCC
RNAcentral lists this transfer RNA (46 nucleotides) under Elseya novaeguineae (New Guinea snapping turtle). Its description in RNAcentral is "partial tRNA-Leu". The record is from RNAcentral. Lineage: Eukaryota; Metazoa; Chordata; Testudines; Chelidae.